AGUCAUCACCAAUAAAACCCACGAGAACCAAUGUACAUUAGAUGUCCAAUACUCUAUUCUUCACCACAUAACACUGGAACACUAAGACAUUAUGUUUAGGCCUAUUAACAUUUAACAAAUAGAAAUUAUCCUUCAUACGGUUGAUUGGAUCUGGGGGUGAUGUGUAGAGACGGAACAGACCCUGGAUUAUAGAUGGUGUGAACCUGAGAUGAGUCAAGGAGGAACAGGAGGCAAAAUAUGAUGUUGACACAUUGCACGCGUGUGCAUGCUAGUCACCUUUUCAUGUCUGAGCUCUCACAUGAGGACCACUCAGACUUUUCGUCAGAGACAAACCAACUGUCCUUUGGUGUGAGGUAGUAGGUUGUAUAGUUUUAGGGUCACUCCCAAGCUGUCAGAUGACUAUACAACAUACUGUCUUUCCUGAAGUGGCUGUAAUAUCAUCACAGACUCGCCACAUGAAGAACCCUCGGCAAAAGCUGCAAUGAAAAUGUACCUUUCAUGCCUACAUUAUUACCAUUCUUACAAUAUUCUUACAUCAUUUUAUAUUUGAACAGGAAAUUAGGUUUCACUUCAGGUUAAUUCACAUUUUCUGGUUGGACUCCAUCUCUAACCAACUGGUCAACCGGACUGUGCCCGGUCGUGGUUCAUGGUGUUCACACAGGGUGAGGUAGUAGGUUGUGUGGUUUCAGGGUUGUGAUUUUGCCCCAUCAGGAGUUAACUGUACAACCUACUGCCUUCCCUGAAGGGCAGCAACACAACAUUACAAGCAUGGCCACAAUGGAGCUCACCGUUUACUGUGCUGUUUUUAAGUGGAGCGCAAAGUAAAGAAGGUAAGCUAUCUCAAAUCUUUGCCUUGGUACUACUGCACAACAUCUGCUUUAUAUCUUGGAAUUUGGAAAUAGGCCUAUUGUUUAUCAACCUUCAAUUUUGUAAUAAUGCAUUCUGUACUAAAAGUCAUAAUAAAAAGUGAGUAGUCUUA
Long non-coding RNA from Oncorhynchus tshawytscha (Chinook salmon), 979 nucleotides. NCBI's taxonomy places the organism in Eukaryota, Metazoa, Chordata, Actinopteri, Salmoniformes, Salmonidae. The record is from Ensembl.